GGUGCCGCUCCCGCAGCGCGGCGGCCCGGGCUGCCGUCCCGGUGACCGUCGACACCGUGAGCACGGCCCCGGUCCGGGCCCCGGCGGCGCCG
RNAcentral lists this transfer RNA (92 nucleotides) under Streptomyces collinus. RNAcentral describes it as "tRNA-Gly". The record is from RNAcentral. RNAcentral also lists the same sequence under 2 other names. Lineage: Bacteria; Bacillati; Actinomycetota; Actinomycetes; Kitasatosporales; Streptomycetaceae.